This 523-nucleotide ribosomal RNA is filed under the name uncultured bacterium. RNAcentral describes it as "partial 16S ribosomal RNA". It matches the Rfam family "Bacterial small subunit ribosomal RNA", at positions 28 to 523 of the family's 1533-position model. The record is from RNAcentral.
GACGAACGCUGGCGGCGUGCCUAAUACAUGCAAGUCGAACGCUUUUUCUUUCACCGGAGCUUGCUCCAUCGAAAGAAAAAGAGUGGCGAACGGGUGAGUAACACGUGGGUAACCUGCCCAUCAGAAGGGGAUAACACUUGGAAACAGGUGCUAAUACCGUAUAACACUAUUUUCCGCAUGGAAGAAAGUUGAAAGGCGCUUUUGCGUCACUGAUGGAUGGACCCGCGGUGCAUUAGCUAGUUGGUGAGGUAACGGCUCACCAAGGCAACGAUGCAUAGCCGACCUGAGAGGGUGAUCGGCCACACUGGGACUGAGACACGGCCCAGACUCCUACGGGAGGCAGCAGUAGGGAAUCUUCGGCAAUGGACGAAAGUCUGACCGAGCAACGCCGCGUGAGUGAAGAAGGUUUUCGGAUCGUAAAACUCUGUUGUUAGAGAAGAACAAGGAUGAGAGUAGAACGUUCAUCCCUUGACGGUAUCUAACCAGAAAGCCACGGCUAACUACGUGCCAGCAGCCGCCGUAA